GGAUUUUUAAACCUUGUUGAAGGAGAAAGACAAAUUCAAACCUGGAUCUAAGGUAGAAGAAAAUUAAGGGUUGUUUAAGAACAAGUGGAGUGGCAGCAAAAGCUGCGUUUCUGUUACUGAACAGCUCGUCUAGCGAGAAGCAUCAUCGCCUAGCGAGGACAGCAGCGUGCUCUUCCUGUGUGUGUUGUUCUUUCCCCUAUCCAACCAUUCUUGAUCAUAGGUAAGCAAACUCAAGCUCUUUUCCUUCUCUCCAGGAUUAUUCUAUUCUUUUGGUGUUAGAAAUAUCACUAAUCCCAUUCACUAAUUUGUCUCUUAUGUCUGCAGCUUCACAUUGAGUAGGGUACUGUGCUCCCCCACCCCCAAAAAAAAAGAGACUGCAAUUAGGAGCGAGGCCGGGUUUCUCUCUUAUUUGACGUUGUACAUUGUUUAGCUUAAGUUUUGGUAAGUUGCUAUAUAGGAGCUCUUAGAUCUUGCGAACUGUCUUGAUUUUGAUGACAAUAUUAGUGAUGCA
Molecule: long non-coding RNA, 511 nt
Filed under: Trifolium pratense (red clover)
Lineage: Eukaryota; Viridiplantae; Streptophyta; Magnoliopsida; Fabales; Fabaceae
Description: long non-coding RNA (TPRA_LNC007321)
Source: RNAcentral